UCCUCAAGAAAGCUGAAGCUAGAAUUGCAGAAUUGAAGCAGCUUGGACUUGAUUAUACAAUAAUCAGUGUGGGGAAAAAGGGUAAUUCAUAUUUCAUCCGCAGGCCUUACAUCCCAGUGGACAGAUUCCUAGAUGGUAGCUCACUCCCUACAGCUAAAGAAGCUCAGGCAAUUGCUGAUGAUGUUUUUUCACUCUUUGUUAGUGAAGAAGUCGAUAAAGUGGAGCUUUUGUACACCAAAUUCGUAUCCUUGGUUAAGUCUGAUCCUGUGAUUCAUACUUUGCUUCCACUUUCACCAAAGGGUGAAAUCUGUGAUGUAAAUGGUGUUUGUGUUGAUGCUGCUGAGGAUGAGUUCUUCAGAUUGACAACCAGGGAAGGGAAACUGACGGUGGAGAGAGAAGUUAUGAGGACUGAGACAGCUGAUUUCUCUCCCAUUUUGCAGUUUGAGCAGGACCCAGUUCAGAUUCUUGAUGCUUUGUUGCCUCUUUAUCUCAACAGCCAGGUUCUGAGGGCUUUGCAGGAAUCACUAGCCAGUGAGCUUGCAGCUAGGAUGAGUGCCAUGAGCAAUGCUACUGAUAAUGCCCAGGAACUGAAAAAGACCUUGUCUAUUGUCUACAACCGGCAGCGUCAAGCGAAAAUCACC
Molecule: long non-coding RNA, 641 nt
Filed under: Gossypium barbadense (sea-island cotton)
Lineage: Eukaryota; Viridiplantae; Streptophyta; Magnoliopsida; Malvales; Malvaceae
Description: long non-coding RNA (GBAR_LNC005665)
Source: RNAcentral